CUCCGUAGGGUAACCUGCGGAGGGAUCAUUACAAGUGACCCCGGUUUACCACCGGGAUGUUCAUAACCCUUUGUUGUCCGACUCUGUUGCCUCCGGGGCGACCCUGCCUUCGGGCGGGGGCUCCGGGUGGACACUUCAAACUCUUGCGUAACUUUGCAGUCUGAGUAAACUUAAUUAAUAAAUUAAAACUUUUAACAACGGAUCUCUUGGUUCUGGCAUCGAUGAAGAACGCAGCGAAAUGCGAUAAGUAAUGUGAAUUGCAGAAUUCAGUGAAUCAUCGAAUCUUUGAACGCACAUUGCGCCCCCUGGUAUUCCGGGGGGCAUGCCUGUUCGAGCGUCAUUUCACCACUCAAGCCUCGCUUGGUAUUGGGCAACGCGGUCCGCCGCGUGCCUCAAAUCGACCGGCUGGGUCUUCUGUCCCCUAAGCGUUGUGGAAACUAUUCGCUAAAGGGUGCUCGGGAGGCUACGCCGUAAAACAACCCCAUUUCUAAGGUUGACCUCGGAUCAGGUAGGGAUACCCGCUGAACUUAAGCAUAUCAAAAGCGGAGGAAUU
RNAcentral lists this ribosomal RNA (553 nucleotides) under Cladosporium cladosporioides. Its description in RNAcentral is "eukaryotic LSU rRNA". The stretch from base 187 to 340 matches the Rfam family "5.8S ribosomal RNA". Lineage: Eukaryota; Fungi; Ascomycota; Dothideomycetes; Cladosporiales; Cladosporiaceae. The record is from RNAcentral.